CGCGUAGGCGGGAUAUUAAGUUAGGUGUGAAAACUCCAGGCUCAACUUGGAGGUUGCACUUAAAACUGGUAUUCUUGAGGACAGGAGAGGAAAGUGGAAUUCCUAGUGUAGCGGUGAAAUGCGUAGAUAUUAGGAGGAACACCAGUGGCGAAGGCGGCUUUCUGGACUGUAACUGACGCUGAGGCGCGAAAGCGUGGGGAGUGAACG
RNAcentral lists this ribosomal RNA (207 nucleotides) under uncultured bacterium. RNAcentral's name for it is "partial 16S ribosomal RNA". It matches the Rfam family "Bacterial small subunit ribosomal RNA", at positions 568 to 774 of the family's 1533-position model. The record is from RNAcentral.